GACCCUGUCUCAACAAACAAACAAACACGCAAACAAACAAACUCCUUGGGUAAUGACCCAGCGGUCACCCAUCGUGAUCAAUUUUUCCGUGGGACUGAACCACUGUCAUUUUCUGGUGCUUUAUAACAGCUUACAAAGUGUUUCCGCAGUUACUUUCUCAUUUGCUUUUCCCCAGUGCUCACGGCGUUAGUGGCGGUGUAUAGAUGCAGAAGCCAAGAGAGGUUAAGUCAUUUGCCCAAAGUUACAGAGGAAGGGGAGACCUGGACCUGAGCCCCAGUCCUUGGCCUCUGCUCUCACACUUUCCCAAGUCCCUGCUGUGGGGACUUUGGUGGCAGCGGGCCAAGGCAGUUCCGGGCACCUGGGCUGAUUGUGUGACUGUGAGUUUGGUAAGCCGAGCCUGGGAGGUGUUUGCAAUGCCCUGAGCUGGCUCCUGGGAAUGCAUUCUGUGCCAUGCAGGGCCGUGUUGCAACGUGACUAAUGGAUGAGAAGGUUGAGGAGGAAAGCCAUUACUUCACCAAUGUGAAUCAAGGUCAUUAGUCACCUCGGGAAGCACACGGAGCUGCGACAUUCAGGAGGGAGGCACGCUGCCCCCAAGCCAAGCCACGAUGUGGCCUGGCGCCGAUCCCAUGCAGCAGGGAGAAGGGAAGUUUCUGGAAGCGAAGAUGAGCUGGGCAGCCAGGCCCAGGGCCCUGGCUGUGCAUGCAUCAGCCCCCUCUGAGAAAAAGAGUUUUGCCCAAGAGUGGGGCAAUGGUGCAGUUUCCAGGAGGCGCUGGCAGGAGCUGACUGGCCACUGAUACUGGCUGGGGUCUCUGGAGGACAGUGACUGGAGGAUCAGUGGACUCUGACCCUCUCCUGUCACCUGAGGAAAUCAGGCCAAUCGUGAGCCACCAGAGUGUCCUCACCGAGACGGCCUCUCUCCCUGGUGUAACAAGCCACAUUUGCUGCUUUUCUGGGAGAGUGAGGAGCAACCACGUGGGUGACUUCUUUUCAAAGUUCUCUGCCUCAGAGGAGGAAGCCCCGUGGGUGGAGGCCAGGCCUGAGGCCAUCCUGCUCUGGGCCAGAGCAUGCUUGUGUCUGAUGAGCGAGGACACGCCUCGUCUGGCUGAGGCUUCCAUUUCACACUGGCGGUUCGAACCCCCAUCACGGCUUCCUUUUGGGCUCCCGUCCUCAGGGGCCCGGGCCUGAAAUGUGCUUGCCCUUCAUCCCUCAGGAUGUGUCCCUUCCUCAGAGAGGACUAAGUUAGCCCCUCCCCUAGUCUCCAUGUGCUCCAAAGCCCUUCCUAUUCACAGAAACUGUCUGGCCUAUUUAUUUGCUUGCUUGCUUGCUUCUGAUGUCUUCUCUUACUGAAAGGAAUCGAAGGGCCAAGGAAUGUGUUUUUCGUUGAUGUCAACUUGCUGCAAAGGACCACACCUGCUUCUCGACCCGGGAACGUGGGAAAGGGAAAGGCACGGCUUGUUUUGGUGGAGAUGGAGGAGCUGGUAACAGUGGAGGAAUGCCCUUCUUCUGAUUCACAGUGGGGAGGUGCUCUGGGCCCCUGCCACUGCCCGAGGACUUCGGGUGAGGUUACCAGGACCGUCAGCCUGAGGAGAAUCAGCUCUUCCACACCAAAUCCUGAAGAUGACAUGGCAGAGUGAGCCAGAGCGAGGGUCUUGCUCCAUUGUCCAGCUAGAGUGCAGUGGCAAGAUGAUGGCUCACUACAGCCUCCAUCUCUUGGGCUUAAGAGCCCUCCCCCAUGGCUCAGCCUGCCCUGAGGCCAGUCCUCGUACAUGGUGCAUGGCUGCCUUCAAGACAUCUCCAAGGAGCCCUCGCUGAGAAGCCCCCUGGUGCACACAUAAAAUCACGUUGCUAUUUAGUUGAAUUUCUUCAUUGUACAGGUUAAGAAAUGGAAGAUGUGACUCUCAAGGAUUAUACACAACUAAAACUGUGUGAAACGGCGAUCAGUACCCGGGCAACAGGGAAGUGGGAAUUUCUCACCAACCCACAUGCCAGGAUCCAGCCUCAACGCUUGUGAGGAUCCAGCCUCAAUGCUCUGCACAUCUCCAGUGUGGAACAGCACCAUGCGCCUAAUGAGUUCUUCUCUGACUGAUUGAUUGAUUGAUUACUAAAACACUCAGCACUCCUGGCAAAGCAGUUCUCACACUGUUGAACAAAUUAUCUUUAUGCACUGCAGUCUCUUGAGCUUAGAUGAAGGCAAACUCACUGUAAUCUUCAGAUCAUUUAGCAAUGCCUUGGAAUCACUGGAUAUGAGAAAAUAUCCAGGCAUGUGGAAUAUGAAGGGGGAAGAAAAGCAGGACUUGGAGGGACUGUGCUAGUGGAUUUCAACUCUGUAUUUUCUAAAAUGAACCAGGGGCAGGCAAACUACUACCUUGUAGGCCAAAUCUGGCCAGUGACCUGUUUUAUCAUUGAUUGAUUGAUUGACGGGGUCUUGUCUUGCUCUGUCAUCCAGGCUGGAGUGCAUUGG
Non-coding RNA from Macaca mulatta (Rhesus monkey), 2461 nucleotides. The record is from RefSeq and is a predicted model, not a curated record. Lineage: Eukaryota; Metazoa; Chordata; Mammalia; Primates; Cercopithecidae.